CAUACCAUUUGCAAAAGUAGACAACCCAAGGUAUUGCAAAUGGGGUAUGUCCAGUCAUUUCUGGUAGCCACUUAGUCACAAACACUGGCCAAAUAUUAGUUUUUUGCUUUUUUUCACACAAAAACAAAUAUGAACGCUAACUUUGGCCAGUGUUUCUGACUAAGUGGCUACUAAAAAAGACUAAACAUACCCCACUUUCAAUACCUUGGGUUGUCUACUUUUUCAAAUGGUAUG
This 234-nucleotide microRNA precursor is filed under the name Pelobates cultripes (western spadefoot toad). The record is from RNAcentral. Lineage: Eukaryota; Metazoa; Chordata; Amphibia; Anura; Pelobatidae.